Molecule: transfer RNA, 72 nt
Filed under: Camelus bactrianus (Bactrian camel)
Lineage: Eukaryota; Metazoa; Chordata; Mammalia; Artiodactyla; Camelidae
Also listed under: 2 other names
Rfam family: tRNA
About the family: Transfer RNA (tRNA) molecules are approximately 80 nucleotides in length.
Source: Rfam by way of RNAcentral
AGGGGUAUAUUUCAGUGGCAGAGCAUGUACUUCACAUGCACAAGGUCCUGGGUUCAAUCCCCAGUCCCUCCA